This 521-nucleotide small RNA is filed under the name Pan troglodytes (chimpanzee). RNAcentral's name for it is "processed transcript". The record is from RNAcentral. Lineage: Eukaryota; Metazoa; Chordata; Mammalia; Primates; Hominidae.
AGAAGGGGUGAUGAGUGAGAGGCGAGUAGUAGUGGACUUGCCCACCAGUGCCAGCUCCAGCAUGCCCCUCCAGAGGCGCAGGGCAUCCUUCAGGGGGCCACGGUCAUCAUCCUCCCUGGAGAGCCCCCCAGCCUCCAGGACCAAUGCCAUGAGUGGCCUUGUCCGAGCACCUGGGGUCUAUGUAGGAACAGCACCCAGUGGGUGCAUAGGUGGCCUGGGUGCCCGUGUGACCCGCCGGGCCCUCGGCAUCAGCAGUGUCUUCCUUCAGGGCCUGCGGAGCUCAGGCCUGGCCACCGUGCCGGCUCCAGGUUUGGAGAGGGACCAUGGUGCUGUUGAGGACCUAGGGGGCUGCCUGGUGGAAUAUAUGGCCAAAGUGCAUGCCCUUGAGCAAGUCAGUCAGGAGCUGGAAACACAACUGCGGAUGCACCUGGAGAGCAAAGCCACACGCUCGGGAAACUGGGGUGCCCUACGGGCUUCCUGGGCCAGCAGCUGCCAGCAGCUGUGUUAGAACCUCCAAGCCU